RNAcentral lists this transfer RNA (60 nucleotides) under Crypturopus inflatus. Its description in RNAcentral is "tRNA-Arg". Lineage: Eukaryota; Metazoa; Arthropoda; Malacostraca; Amphipoda; Micruropodidae. The record is from RNAcentral.
AAAAUAGAAGUAACCUGUACAAUUGGCUUCGGCCCAAUUUUUGGCUCCAGCCCUGUUUUA